UCCCCCGGCCCCGCUCGGCCCGUGCGGCUGCCCCCAGCUCCAGCCCCUCCCCUGGAGCCUGUGCUGUGGCUGCAGGCAGCCCCCGAGCCCUGUCGUGAGGGCAGCAAGCUGGCCCUCGGUGCAUCUCCAGAAGCCUCUGCAGAAGGAGGGGCUCUGGCCAGGGGCGAUCUGCGGUAAUGAGUCGAUGCUUCUCUUUCGCAGAGGCUGCGCUGAGGGCAUGGUUGUCUCUUCCUCCCUUGGGGAUGCUGUUGACUGCAGCAGCCUCAGGCUUGCGUGGGCUGUCUCUGCCUGGCCUCCCUCUCCGCGCGGGCGCCGGAGCACAAAGGGACAGGUGGGGCACUUACCGGCUGUGGGCAGGAGCUGCUGCGGCUGAAGCUGGAGAGGCCAGAGAAAGGUAGAGAAGAAGAAAUGGAAGGCCGGCCGGCCGGCAGCUGCCUCCCGCUGCAGGCAAGAGAGAGCCUGCCUCUCCGCGUGUGGAAGGAUCCCUCCUCGUAGUCCGCAGCAGGGGGAGGAGGACAGCCGUGCAGCCGGAGUUACAGCAGAGGAGGGGAGCGGGAGAGGAGCAGAAAGAAGCGUCUGAACUGGCCAAUUCUCCUGGCAGCGCCAAGAACAAGAGCUGUGGACUGGUGUUUGUCAAGGAUUAAGCCUGUCAGAGACUGGUA
Aquila chrysaetos chrysaetos is the source of this 662-nucleotide long non-coding RNA. RefSeq lists it as uncharacterized. The transcript has 3 exons. The record is from RefSeq and is a predicted model, not a curated record. NCBI's taxonomy places the organism in Eukaryota, Metazoa, Chordata, Aves, Accipitriformes, Accipitridae.